UCCUCCCUGUCUGUUCUCAUGUUUAUUGUAUCAACACAUUCAUUAAAUGGGUGUACUGUAGUUCAUAUCUUAUUUGCAAGUUGUGCAAAGCUGAUGCUAUUUGAUCGUCUCAGUUAGAUGAAAAAUCAGGCAAGGUCUAAGGAAAGAAGAAUUGAGGAUCGGGAAGCAUAGGAGCAGAUUCUCGCGAUAUGUUACUGCGUCAUCUUAGCCGAUAACAAAUGGAGAAGAAACAGAAAAGAAGUGGAGGAUGAAUAUUGGACCAAGAAUUUAAUGAGGUCAUGUGAAUCUUUUGUCUUCACUUUGAGAUGCAGAGGGGGAGAGAGGAAAAGGAUUUCAUGUCUCAGCCAAGCAGGAGUCGUUCAUCUCCAUGCAGCAGGAGCAACGCGCAUGCAAAUGCGAGCCCACAGUAAGCCGCCAUUGCCUUUCUCUUAGCCCAAUCGCCCUCUCUGCACAUAUUUUGUAUGUGUGUCCUUGCAAAACGAUCCAUAUCCCGCAUAAGUGGGAUACUUUGCUCAGCUUGCUCCACUAUUGAAGUACUUUGUUGUAAACACGUUUCUACAUAAUAAUUGUUAAUACCUUAACUUUGAUGUGAAGGUUUGCAUUAUUGUUGUCGGACCUGAAUUACAUCAAAGACUUCAACAAGGGAUGUUUUCCCUUUCACGUGAUUGUCUUGCUGCCUUCCUCCUGCCUUUCAGUUCCAUGCAUGUACGCAGCUCCAAGAUCCAGAGGCGUGCGAUUGUCACGGCAAACGCGAGUAGCAAGGAUGACAAGGCGGAGGAGGGAGGGAGAGUGUUCAACCCAUCCAGGUUGCGACCAACCAAUCUCCGUUAAUAUCAUUCAUGUUGGUGCUGCCACUCUCCACGGAGGUGCCGGUCGGCCGGCACAUACGUCAGUUCAUGAAUGCCAGGCGCUGCUCUUUUUUGUGAGG
Triticum urartu is the source of this 928-nucleotide non-coding RNA. The record is from RefSeq and is a predicted model, not a curated record. NCBI's taxonomy places the organism in Eukaryota, Viridiplantae, Streptophyta, Magnoliopsida, Poales, Poaceae.